GGUCUCACACCCUCCAGUGGGUACACAGCUGCGACGUGGACUCGGACUGCAGUCUCCUCAGUGGGUAUGAACAUACCCUAUCACGGCGCCAGUUACCUCGUCCGAAACCAGGAACUGCGCUCUUGGACUGCAGCGGACAAGGCGGCUCAGAUGCCCUGGCGGAGGAACAGGCAGAGCUGCUCAAAACCUACCUGCAGGGAAGGUGGGCGGAGUGGCUCAGCAAAGUCCUUAAGAAUGGGAAGGAGAGGCUGCAGUGCCCAGAACCCCAAAGACUCACAUGACCCACCACCCCAUCUCUGACCAUGAGGCCACCAUGAGGUGCUGGGCUCUGGGCUUCUACCCUGUGGAGAUCACACUGACCCAGUAGUGGGAUGGACAGGACCAAAUGUAGGAUGCAGAGGUUGUGGAGACCACACCUGCAGGGUACAGAACCUUCCAGAAGUGGGCAGCUGUGGUGGUGUCUUCUGGAGAGGAGCAGAGAUACACAUGCCAUGUGCAGCACGAUGGGCUGCCAGAGCCCCUCACCCUGAGAUGGCUGUCUUCCCAGCCCACCAUCCCCAUCAUGGGCAUCGUUACUGUCCUGGUUGUUCUUGGUGCUGUUUUCACCAGAGCUGUGGUCACUGCUGUGAUGUGAAGAAUAAGAGCCCAGGUAGGAAAGGGGUGAGCUCCGAGUUUUCUUCUUCCAUUGAUGGAAAAGGAGGCAGCUAUGCUCAGGCUUCAUGCAAGGACAGUACCCAGGGCUCUGAUGUGUCUCUCAAGGCUUGUAAAAUG
Molecule: long non-coding RNA, 771 nt
Filed under: Homo sapiens (human)
Lineage: Eukaryota; Metazoa; Chordata; Mammalia; Primates; Hominidae
Description: long non-coding RNA NONHSAT116908.2
Source: RNAcentral